UGUCCUGGUUCAAUAAUCGUUUUAAUGUUUUCGAUGACCGCUUGUCGCCUGCUGGCAUGAUGGCGUAUGCGCGGCUAGUGCUCGCCGGAUGGGGUGGUUCUUUGCGCAAGCGAAUCAAACGUAUCAGGAACAAAAGAAAAUUUACAUGCCAGACUGAUAAGGUAAAAGAAAAAGGUAUGUUUGACCCGAAAAAGAAACGUACUAAUCUAAUAUGGCUAAAUAAAAAGGGCAAGCACCACACCUACCUGUUGGAAGCCUUCUCGCCUGGUGUUCUGGCGAGGAUAAUGCCCUCCCUCUGGAGUCGGAGCUCCACCAUAGCAACUUUCAAGUCAGUUGCCCCGUACCUACCUCUUCAUCUUAUCACCCCCUUCCUAUCUCCUCCUCCCUAAGAUCUACAUGAUCUCAAUAAAAUUCAUUGUCUCUUCGUAAACGUUACAAACAUUCCAGGUAGUCUCUUUAUUUAUAAAAGAUGGUUAAUUUAUGAUGACCACAUGAAAAAUUCAGAACAAAAACAAGAGGCAUCAUCCAAAAUUCAUAAUAAAAAAAGGAAAAACUCGAAACAUUAUGGCUUUAACUUCUUAUCUCAACUUUUCUACAUUAGCUUAGCAAAAAAAAAAAAAAAAAAUAAAUUUAAAGACAGUAUAAAAGAAUCAUAUGUAGGUGGGUAUGCUAGCUUCGAACAGAUCUAAUGGCAUCUCUUCUCUUCCUUCGGGGCUUCUGCCGCUGAGCAAGUUAGGCUGUGCCCACAAUGGCAGCUUACUCCGUCUGUCCGUCUAUGUCCGUCCGAACAGUGUAAGGUUAAAGGUAAGUAAAAGGGGUAUUAUAUAAAAAUAAAAGGGGUAUUUGGAAUUAGAUUUUUUUUUAUCUCAUAUCUGAUUUCUUUUCUUCUUCUUUUUAGGCCUUUACCACGCCCGAAAGGACGGCCUCUUCUAGGUACUAAUUUGGAACAAGGAUCCCUAUGGAGACUUCCUACCUGCCUAGAAAGAGCUCUAUCUAUUGGGGAAGGGUAAAUACCAUGUAGUACGGUUGACGGUAUAAUCAAAGAUAAGUACCCUAGAAAAAAAAUGCCUGCCUUUUCAAAAAAAAACUAAUUUCCUUUUUUUUUCUUUUAUUUUUAGGUAAUAUGUACGUCCGUCCGUCCGAAGGUUUAGUUUUAAGUAUUAUGUUAAGGGUCUUUGUAAGCCGUCACCUGGAGCACUGCGGUCUGCGAGUGCUUUUGAAGGAAGUCCCACGCUGGUGCAGAGAUGAGCCGUUGCUAUCAGAAGCUUUUGUUUUUUUUUUUCUCUUUUCUUUUUUUUUUUGCAAUAAAGGAAACGAAUGAUUUUGCUUUGGUCUGUUUUUUUUUUCUUUUAGAAUUCAGAUCAUUUUCUUGUUCAUCAUUUAAAAUAAAAGUGCCUUUUUCAAUGUUAGGCUUUUAGAGGUUUCAUCCCUCUUUGGAUUGUUCGGUUUUGUGUCAUCAUCCACUUGCUAUGCAGUCUUUGUAGCAAUGCAACACAACAACACCAACACUACACGACCGCGGCUGCACUUUUUUUUUAAUUCUUUUUUUUUUCUUGCUCGUUAAGCUCACUUCCAGUUGUCUUCUCGGCUCACCUCCGGCUUGCUGCACAGUCCAAAUCAAAAAGAAAGAUUUCCUUUCCUAGGACAGUGGCCUAUGUUGUCAUUUUGUUCAUCAUGGCGCUCUUCCCAGACCGAACUUCCUCUGAUGGGCCAAA
Long non-coding RNA from Stomoxys calcitrans (stable fly), 1715 nucleotides. RefSeq lists it as uncharacterized. Lineage: Eukaryota; Metazoa; Arthropoda; Insecta; Diptera; Muscidae. The record is from RefSeq and is a predicted model, not a curated record. The transcript is spliced from 2 exons.